AGACCCGAAACCCGGUGAUCUAGCCAUGGGCAGGUUGAAGGUUGGGUAACACUAACUGGAGGACCGAACCGACUAAUGUUGAAAAAUUAGCGGAUGACCUGUGGCUGGGGGUGAAAGGCCAAUCAAACCGGGAGAUAGCUGGUUCUCCCCGAAAGCUAUUUAGGUAGCGCCUCGUGAAUUCAUCUCCGGGGGUAGAGCACUGUUUCGGCUAGGGGGCCAUCCCGGCUUACCAACCCGAUGCAAACUGCGAAUACCGGAGAAUGUUAUCACGGGAGACACACGGCGGGUGCUAACGUCCGUCGUGAAGAGGGAAACAACCCAGACCGCCAGCUAAGGUCCCAAAGUCAUGGUUAAGUGGGAAACGAUGUGGGAAGGCCCAGACAGCCAGGAUGUUGGCUUAGAAGCAGCCAUCAUUUAAAGAAAGCGUAAUAGCUCACUGGUCGAGUCGGCCUGCGCGGAAGAUGUAACGGGGCUAAACCAUGCACCGAAGCUGCGGCAGCGAACGUAUCACCCAAGACAACUUUACGGAGUUGACGAUUGACGGAGCGAAGCGACGUCAAAGCGUUCAUUAAAGUCGAGUUGGCUUAGGGAUACGUUCGUUGGGUAGGGGAGCGUUCUGUAAGCCUGUGAAGGUGUGUCGUGAGGCAUGCUGGAGGUAUCAGAAGUGCGAAUGCUGACAUAAGUAACGAUAAAGCGGGUGAAAAGCCCGCUCGCCGGAAGACCAAGGGUUCCUGUCCAACGUUAAUCGGGGCAGGGUGAGUCGACCCCUAAGGCGAGGCCGAAAGGCGUAGUCGAUGGGAAACGGGUUAAUAUUCCCGUACUUGGUGUUACUGCGAAGGGGGGACGGAGAAGGCUAUGUUGGCCGGGCGACGGUUGUCCCGGUUUAAGCGUGUAGGUGUGUGUUCCAGGUAAAUCCGGUUCACUUUAACACUGAGGCGUGACGACGAGGCACUACGGUGCUGAAGCAACAAAUGCCCUGCUUCCAGGAAAAGCCUCUAAGCAUCAGGUAACACGAAAUCGUACCCCAAACCGACACAGGUGGUCAGGUAGAGAAUACCAAGGCGCUUGAGAGAACUCGGGUGAAGGAACUAGGCAAAAUGGUGCCGUAACUUCGGGAGAAGGCACGCUGACACGUAGGUGAAGUGAUUUACUCAUGGAGCUGAAGUCAGUCGAAGAUACCAGCUGGCUGCAACUGUUUAUUAAAAACACAGCACUGUGCAAACACGAAAGUGGACGUAUACGGUGUGACGCCUGCCCGGUGCCGGAAGGUUAAUUGAUGGGGUCAGCGUAAGCGAAGCUCCUGAUCGAAGCCCCGGUAAACGGCGGCCGUAACUAUAACGGUCCUAAGGUAGCGAAAUUCCUUGUCGGGUAAGUUCCGACCUGCACGAAUGGCGUAAUGAUGGCCAGGCUGUCUCCACCCGAGACUCAGUGAAAUUGAACUCGCUGUGAAGAUGCAGUGUACCCGCGGCAAGACGGAAAGACCCCGUGAACCUUUACUAUAGCUUGACACUGAACAUUGAGCCUUGAUGUGUAGGAUAGGUGGGAGGCUUUGAAGUGUGGACGCCAGUCUGCAUGGAGCCGACCUUGAAAUACCACCCUUUAAUGUUUGAUGUUCUAACGUGGACCCGUAAUCCGGGUUGCGGACAGUGUCUGGUGGGUAGUUUGACUGGGGCGGUCUCCUCCUAAAGAGUAACGGAGGAGCACGAAGGUUGGCUAAUCCUGGUCGGACAUCAGGAGGUUAGUGCAAUGGCAUAAGCCAGCUUGACUGCGAGCGUGACGGCGCGAGCAGGUGCGAAAGCAGGUCAUAGUGAUCCGGUGGUUCUGAAUGGAAGGGCCAUCGCUCAACGGAUAAAAGGUACUCCGGGGAUAACAGGCUGAUACCGCCCAAGAGUUCAUAUCGACGGCGGUGUUUGGCACCUCGAUGUCGGCUCAUCACAUCCUGGGGCUGAAGUAGGUCCCAAGGGUAUGGCUGUUCGCCAUUUAAAGUGGUACGCGAGCUGGGUUUAGAACGUCGUGA
Molecule: ribosomal RNA, 2017 nt
Filed under: Salmonella enterica
Lineage: Bacteria; Pseudomonadati; Pseudomonadota; Gammaproteobacteria; Enterobacterales; Enterobacteriaceae
Description: partial 23S ribosomal RNA
Rfam family: Bacterial large subunit ribosomal RNA
Source: RNAcentral